AAACUCCGAAUGCCGUCAUCUUAUACUUGGGAGUCAGACUGUGGGUGAUAAGAUUCAUAGUCGAAAGGGCAACAGCCCAGAUCGUCAGCUAAGGUCCCUAAAUGUAAGUUAAGUGGUAAAGGAUGUGGGAUUGCACAGACAACCAGGAUGUUGGCUUAGAAGCAGCCACUCAUUCAAAGAGUGCGUAAUAGCUCACUGGUCGAGUGAUCCUGCGCCGAAGAUUUCCGGGGCUAAAACUUACUACCGAAGCUACGGCAUCAGUAAUGAUGGGUAGGGGAGCUUCCCAUACGGGUUGAAGCAUGACCGUAAGGACAUGUGGACAGUAUGGGAGUGAGAAUGUUGGCAUGAGUAGCGAGAUGUGGGUGAGAAUCCCACAGGCCGUAAACCCAAGGUUUCCAGGGGAAGGUUCGUCCGCCCUGGGUUAGUCGGGACCUAAGCUGAGGCCGAAAGGCGUAGGUGAUGGACAACAGGUUGAUAUUCCUGUACUACCGAUAACCGUUUGAGAGAAGGGAUGACACAGUAGGAUAAGCUAAGCACACUGUUGGUUAUGUGUGCCCAAGCAUUGAGGCAGUCAAAGUAGGCAAAUCCGCUUUGAUAAUGCUGGGAUGUGAUGGGGAGCGAAAUUUAGUAGCGAAGUAGCUGAUUUCACACUGUCAAGAAAAGUCUCUAUCGAGGUUAAAGGUACCCGUACCGCAAACCGACACAGGUGGGUGAGGAGAGUAUCCUAAGGCCAGCGAGAGAACUGUUGUUAAGGAACUCGGCAAAAUGACCCCGUAACUUAGGGAUAAGGGGUGCCACCAUCAGGUGGCCGCAGAGAAUAGGCCCAAGCGACUGUUUACCAAAAACAUAGG
Molecule: ribosomal RNA, 851 nt
Filed under: Clostridioides difficile
Lineage: Bacteria; Bacillati; Bacillota; Clostridia; Peptostreptococcales; Peptostreptococcaceae
Description: partial 23S ribosomal RNA
Rfam family: Bacterial large subunit ribosomal RNA
Source: RNAcentral